AAGUCGUAACAAGGUUUCCGUAGGUGAACCUGCGGAAGGAUCAUUAACACGUAUCCAAACGUUAACCCCCCUGUGAACCUUUAGUGUGCUCGUACGCUUUGUCAGAGCGUGGCAAUCCCUAGUAAAUCAUCGCCGAACAGUUUUCGAUUUAGGGACUUCCACAAAGAGUGUGCUCGUAGCGCGAGGCAAGUGGCCUGAAAGUGUCACUGGCUGUGUAGGAUGGCGCAGUCACGAUCGUUGGAGGCCGACACGGCCGACGACCGGGUCACCGCCCCUUAAUCACAACUUAAUGCAUGUCAGACGCUUGAUUGUGCGGCGGCCGUAGGGCUCGGGCGGCUGUUGGCGGUGGGUCUCUUGGUUCUC
Molecule: unclassified non-coding RNA, 363 nt
Filed under: fungal sp.
Lineage: Eukaryota; Fungi
Description: partial internal transcribed spacer region
Rfam family: Eukaryotic small subunit ribosomal RNA (bases 1-46)
Source: RNAcentral